Molecule: long non-coding RNA, 2230 nt
Organism: Pyrgilauda ruficollis (rufous-necked snowfinch)
Lineage: Eukaryota; Metazoa; Chordata; Aves; Passeriformes; Passeridae
Exons: 2
Source: RefSeq, a predicted model, not a curated record
UUUCCAGGAACAUUUUUGGGCAUUUUUGGCAAUCUCGGGGCCGUUCCGUGUCCCCCCGCAGGAGGAGCUGUCGCGGCUGCGCCGGAAGCUGGAGAAGCAGCGCAAGGUCGAGGUCUACGCCGACGCCGACCAGAUCCUGCAGGAGGAGAUCAAGGAGUACCGGGCCCGGCUGACCUGUCCGUGCUGCAACGCGCGCAAGAAGGACGCGGUGCUGACCAAGUGCUUCCACGUCUUCUGCUUCGAGUGCGUCAAGAGCCGCUAUGACACGCGCCAGAGGAAGUGCCCCAAGUGCAACGCGGCCUUCGGCGCGCACGACUUCCACCGCGUCUACAUCAGCUGAGCGCUGGAGGUCACCCCGUGGUGACCGCUGGUCAUCUGUGGUCAUCUGCAGUCAUCUGUGGUCAUCCUUGGUGACCACGGCCACCAAUGACCACCCGUGGUCAUCCAAUGUCCAUCCUUGGUGACCAACGACUUUCACCGUGUCUACGUCAGCUGAGCGCCGGAGGUCACCCUGUGGUGACCGGUGGUCAUCUGCGGUCAUUUCUGGUCAUCUGCGGUCAUCCUUGGUGACCACGGCCACCGAUGACCGCCCCUGGUCAUCCAAUGUCCAUCCUUUGGUGACCCAUGACUUCCGCCACGUCUAGGUCAGCUGAGCACUGGAGGUCACCCCAUGAUGACCAGUGGUUACCUGUGGUCAUCUGUGGUCAUCUGUGGUCAUCCUUGGUGAUCACGGUGAACUGUGACCACCCAUGGUCACCCAGUGUCCAUCCCAUGGUGACCAAUGCCCAGCUGUGGUCACUCUGUGUCCCUCAGUGACCAAUGCCCAGCUGUGGUCACUCUGUGUCCAUCUUUAGUGACCAAUGCCCAGCUGUGGUCACUCAGUGUCCACUCUCAGUGACCAAUGCCCAGCUGUGGUCACUCUGUGUCCACUCUCAGUGACCAAUGCCCAGCUGUGGUCACUCUGCGUCCAUCUUUAGUGACCAAUGCCCAGCUGUGGUCACUCUGUGUCCAUGCCAUGGUGACCAAUGUCCAGCUGUGGUCACUCUGUGUCCAUCUUUAGUGACCAAUGCCCAGCUGUGGUCACUCUGUGUCCAUCUCUAGUGACCAAUGCCCAGCUGUGGUCACUCUGUGUCCAUCUUUAGUGACCAAUGCCCAGCUGUGGUCACUCUGUGUCCAUCCUCAGUGACCAAUGCCCAGCUGUGGUCACUCUGUGUCCACCCCAUGAUGACCACUGACCACUGAUGUCCACCCGUGAUGACCAAUGACCACCGAUGACCACUGAUGACCACUGAUGACCACCCCACCCUGACCCUGUGGUCACUCCUGGCCAUCUCUUGCUGACCAAUGGCCGCUCUCCGGCCGCUCCCUGCUGACCACUGACCACCUGUGGUCACUCUGUGUCCAUCAUUGGUGACCACUGACCACCUGUGGUCACUCUGUGUCCACCCCAUGGUCACCAAUGGUCACGGCCACCCCAGGCCACCCCUGACCACCCCUGUCCACCCCAAAGUGACCACUGACCACCCCAAAGUGACCACUGACCACCCCAGAGUGACCACUGACCACCCCUGACCACCUCAAGUGACCUCUGGUCACUCUGAAGUGACCAAUGGUCAUUCCUGGUCACCCCAAACUGCCCCCUGGUCACUCUGGUCACCCUAAAGUGACCACUGGUCACUCUGGUCACUCAUGGCCAUCCCAAAAUGACCACGGGUCACUCUGGUCACCCUAAAGUGACCCCUGGUCACUCUGGUCACUCUUGGUCACCCUAAACUGACCCCUGGUCACUCAUGGCCACCCCAAAAUGACCCCUGGUCACUCUGGUCACUCUAAAGUGACCAUUGCUCACUCUGGUCACUCUGGUCAUUCUAAAGUGACCACAGGUCACUCUGGUCACUCUGAAGUGACCACUGGUCACUCUGGCCACCCCAAACUGCCCCCUGGUCAUCCUGGCCACCCCAAAGUGACCACUGGUCACUCUGGUCACUCUAAAGUGACCAUUGCUCACUCUGGUCACUCUGGCCGCCCCAAACUGCCCCCUGGUCACUCCUGGUCACCCCAAACUGCCCCCUGGUCACUCUGGUCACUUGUGGUCACUCCUGGUCACUCGUGGUCACCCCCGUGUCCACCCCGGCCCCUCCCCAGCGGUCGCCGCCCCCUGACCUUUGACCUCGCUGUGGCCCCGCCCCCUUUUCCCCUUUCCCAGCCAAUAAAAUCGCUCGGAGUCGUU